Molecule: RNA transcript, 2327 nt
Organism: Musa acuminata AAA Group (dessert banana)
Lineage: Eukaryota; Viridiplantae; Streptophyta; Magnoliopsida; Zingiberales; Musaceae
Gene name: elongation factor G, mitochondrial-like
Exons: 11
Source: RefSeq, a predicted model, not a curated record
AACGCCAAUCCAAAGACGGUUGUUUUACAGCCGGUUAGGGUUCAGCCGAACCAAAUCCGGCAGUGCUGACUGCAAUGUUGAGGUCCUUCGCCACCCUCCUCCUCUCCGCCCUCCGCCGCUCGGAGAGUAACAAGUUCCGUCCGCUCGCCAUCCUCGUCCUCGGCGGCCGAACGAGCCACGGACGACAGGGAGCCAUGGCGGAAGGAGGCGAUGUUAGGAUGCGGAACAUUGGGAUCUCCGCCCACAGAUCAUCCUCACCGAGCGGGUCCUCUUCUGCACGGGGAGGAUCGACGAGAUCCAUGAGGUCCGAGGGAAGGACGGGGUUGGCGCGAAGAUGGACUCGAUAGACCUAGAGAGGGGGAAGAGCAUCACGAUCCAGUCCGCAGCUACCUACUGCACCUGGAACGGAUAUCAGGUGGUUUUUCUCUGACUAAAGUUUGGAGUAUUUAUUUUAAUCUUUUGGAUGGUAUAGGAUGCUCUUCGACCGCUGACAUAAAGUGGGUGUUACAUGAGAGUGAAUUGCUGCUCAAGAUUGUAUAAGCAAUUUCGGGUUUUGAAAUGGUUCAUGAACUGGUAACGGAACUAAGCGUACUGGACACUGACAACGGGACUAGAAGUCCUGACCUAUUAAUUGUGCACACAACAACUCAAUCUCCGCAGAGACUAUAUCUUCUUAAAGUUCAAUUUUUUUGGUUGCUUAUAUUAGAUUGCAUGGAACUUUUGCUAUGUUUAAAAGUUACUGUGUCUGGUGCUUUGCCAAGCAUGUGUUAGCCCCUGGAUGACACUGUUCAUGAACUGCCUUUUAUAUAUCAGUCAAAUGAGCAUGAUGUGGUGAACGGAUGACAUAAAAUGUAGAUUUACAUAUUAAUAUCAUUAAUACUCCUGCCACAUGGAUUUCACCAUUGACCGAGUCAAUACAACCUAGGAAUCAAGGCACAAGUACCGGAGGAGCAACAAGGCAAGCUAAGCUACGACAUCAUAGUGCGGCAAAAUCUAAGCUAUGACAUCAUAGUGCGGUGAUGCAAGUUCCAAUUGGAUUAGAAGAGGAAUUUGAGGAGCUUGUAGAUCUUGUAGAUUUGAAAGCAUAUAACUUCCAUGGAGCCAUCGGUGAGAGAAUUGUAACAGCUGAUAUUCCACAACUUGGAGGCACCGGUUACAGAAAAGCGGUGUGAGCUUAUUGAGGUUGUCUCUGAAUUAGAUGAUAAACUCGCUGAAGCUUUGCUUAAUGAUGAACCGAUAUCUCCCGAUGACCUCAAGAUGGCAAUUCUUAGGGCAACUGUAGCAUGCAAAUUCUUUCCAGUCUACAUGGGAAGUGCUUUCAAGAACAAGAUAUAUUGAACCUCUACCAUUGGGUUCUCUUACGAAGUUUGAAGUUGAGAAUCUUAUCAUUGGGCAAGCAAUACCUUCAAACUUCAUUCCAGCAAUUGAGAAAGGGUUCAGAGAAGCUAGCAACUCGUGGUAUUGACAGAUGGGGCAUCACAAGCUGUUGAUUCCAGUGAGCUGGCAUUUAAGCUAGCAGCUAUAUAUGCAUUUAGACAGCCGAGCCUGUCAUAUUGGAACCCUUGAUGAAAGUGGCAUUGAAAGUGCCAUCAGAAUUCCAGGGCACUAUUACUGGUGAUAUUAACAAGAGGAAAGGUAUGAUUGUUGGAAAUGACCAGGAUGGUGAUGGUACUGUGGUUGUUGCUCAUGUAUGUAGAUUCCAAUCUUCUCCUUUGAACGAUCUGCUGACGUGUGGAAAUUGCAUAUUGAUGCGACCUGGUACCUCCAAGCGACAUGUUUGGAUGCUCUACAGCCCUACACUCCACGACACAGGGCAAAGGUGAAUUUCACCAUGGAAUAUUUGGAGCACUCCUCUGUUUCUCAAGAUGUACAGAUGCAACUCAUAAAUGCACAAGGUGGCAACAAGGUUGCAGAGUAGAACUGUUCUUUUCACACGAUAUGAGAUAUCACCAUAUUUCCACCAAUAACUCUUUAAAUUCAUUGAAGGAAAACUACACGCCAUACGAAUUUAUGUAUACAUUCUUUUGCCAGGACCUAAGAUGUAGAUUUUGUUGGUGAUUUUACUGAAACCAGAUCAUAGAUGCCUGAGAUCUACACUUGCAAAUCUGUAACUUAUUUGAGAAUUAGGUGCAAAAAUUAGCUUCUCUUGUUCAUUUAGGUACCACAAUGAGGAACUUGUUACUACCAGGAACACAUGCACUCGGAUUGAAGUGCAUCUGGAAAUUUUAAUGGUGUUUCACCAGAUGUAAUGAAUUCACUAUAAAAGGUGCUUCUCAGGUAUACUCAUAUCCAAUUUUUCUCAAUGAUAUUCAAAGUCAUUGGUUGGA